GUGCUCACAUCGAAAGCACAUAUAGUAAAAGUGGAAUGAUGCAGAGAAAAUUAGCAUGGCUUUUGCACAAGGGUAACAUGUAAAUUUGUGAAUUGUUCCAUAUUUUU
Small nuclear RNA from Hypanus sabinus (Atlantic stingray), 107 nucleotides. Lineage: Eukaryota; Metazoa; Chordata; Chondrichthyes; Myliobatiformes; Dasyatidae. The record is from RefSeq and is a predicted model, not a curated record.